Molecule: long non-coding RNA, 772 nt
Organism: Erigeron canadensis
Lineage: Eukaryota; Viridiplantae; Streptophyta; Magnoliopsida; Asterales; Asteraceae
Exons: 3
Source: RefSeq, a predicted model, not a curated record
UCUGAUAUGCCCUGUCUGGAGUUUCGGUGCACUCACUGUCACAUUCAUUUUACUCAGGCGAGCAGGUGACUGCAUAUAUAGCACCUAAUCAAUUUAUAAGCGUCCAUGGCUACCUCUUGAUACAUCAUUCUAUAUGGACCUUGGAGAUUGUACCUGCAUCUGUGCGUACAGAGUACUGUGGUGCCCUUUUCUGGUAUGAAGAACGUUGUCAAAAUACAUCUACCAGUAGACAUGUCAAGUAUACACAAUGUCAAGUUGCCUGUUUCAAAGACGGUUUUCGAAGAAACUCAAGAGAUUCCAAUUGAUAUGCUUUAUAGGGAGUUCUGCCGGUAACUAGAAAGUUCGCGGAAGGACUUAUUCUAAUUUCUGCAGAUAAAUUGGAGCCAUAUCUGGUGCUAUGGUCAAUGUUUAACUAGACAACGGUUCGCUUGUAAGUUAAGAUCAUUAAACAGCCAAAUGUUUCCCUUCCUGCUCUAUGCAUGCACCAAUGCCAAACUACAGUCUACAAAGAGUGAACAAAGAUAUAAUCCAUUUUACCUAAGAUCUCGAGGGAUGACUGCGUCGGGCCAUGAAAUUAUACUAUUUGGGAAAAAUUAAUCCAUAAAAAAGGUAACCCAUUUACACGAAUUUCCUAUUAAAGGUAACCUAUUUUGUUUUCGUUUAUUUAAAAGAUCUCAUUUUCAAAAAAUUCAUGAUAAAAGGUAUCUUGUUAGUUUUUGACAAACGACGUCUGUUAAGUGCAACGUCAGCAAAACUGAUGACGUGGCAUAUU